UUUGACGUUAGCGACAGAAGAAGCACCGGCUAACUCCGUGCCAGCAGCCGCGGUAAUACGGAGGGUGCGAGCGUUAAUCGGAAUUACUGGGCGUAAAGCGCAUGCAGGUGGUUUGUUAAGUCAGAUGUGAAAGCCCGGGGCUCAACCUCGGAAUAGCAUUUGAAACUGGCAGACUAGAGUACUGUAGAGGGGGGUAGAAUUUCAGGUGUAGCGGUGAAAUGCGUAGAGAUCUGAAGGAAUACCGGUGGCGAAGGCGGCCCCCUGGACAGAUACUGACACUCAGAUGCGAAAGCGUGGGGAGCAAACAGGAUUAGAUACCCUGGUAGUCCACGCCGUAAACGAUGUCUACUUGGAGGUUGUGGCCUUGAGCCGUGGCUUUCGGAGCUAACGCGUUAAGUAGACCGCCUGGGGAGUACGGUCGCAAGAUUAAAACUCAAAUGAAUUGACGGGGGCCCGCACAAGCGGUGGAGCAUGUGGUUUAAUUCGAUGCAACGCGAAGAACCUUACCUACUCUUGACAUCCAGAGAACUUUCCAGAGAUGGAUUGGUGCCUUCGGGAACUCUGAGACAGGU
Molecule: ribosomal RNA, 572 nt
Filed under: Vibrio sp.
Lineage: Bacteria; Pseudomonadati; Pseudomonadota; Gammaproteobacteria; Vibrionales; Vibrionaceae
Description: bacterial SSU rRNA
Rfam family: Bacterial small subunit ribosomal RNA
Source: RNAcentral